Molecule: ribosomal RNA, 365 nt
Filed under: uncultured eukaryote
Lineage: Eukaryota
Description: partial 18S ribosomal RNA
Rfam family: Eukaryotic small subunit ribosomal RNA
Source: RNAcentral
CAAUAGCGUAUAUUUAAGUUGUUGCAGUUAAAAAGCUCGUAGUCGGAUUUUGGCUGAGAACGAACGGUCCGCCGUUAGGUGUGCACUGUUUGGUCUCAGCUUCCUGGUGAGGAGGUGUGCUUCACGGCUACUUAGUCACCGUGGUUACUUUGAAAAAAUUAGAGUGUUCAAAGCGGGCUUACGCUUGAAUAUAUUUGCAUGGAAUAACACCAUAGGACUCCUGUCCUAUUUCGUUGGUCUCGGGACGGGAGUAAUGAUUAAGAGGAACAGUUGGGGGCAUUCGUAUUUCAUUGUCAGAGGUGAAAUUCUUGGAUUUAUGAAAGACGAACUUCUGCGAAAGCAUUUGCCAAGGAUGUUUUCAUUGA